AUUGAACGCUGGUGGCAGGCUUAACACAUGCAAGUCGAGCGGGGUGAUGGUGCUUGCACUAUCACUUAGCGGCGGACGGGUGAGUAAUGCUUAGGAAUCUGCCUAUUAGUGGGGGACAACAUCUCGAAAGGGAUGCUAAUACCGCAUACGUCCUACGGGAGAAAGCAGGGGAUCACUUGUGACCUUGCGCUAAUAGAUGAGCCUAAGUCGGAUUAGCUAGUUGGUGGGGUAAAGGCCUACCAAGGCGACGAUCUGUAGCGGGUCUGAGAGGAUGAUCCGCACACUGGGACUGAGACACGGCCCAGACUCCUACGGGAGGCAGCAGUGGGGAAUAUUGGACAAUGGGGGGAACCCUGAUCCAGCCAUGCCGCGUGUGUGAAGAAGGCCUUAUGGUUGUAAAGCACUUUAAGCGAGGAGGAGGCUCUUUUGGUUAAUACCCAAGAUGAGUGGACGUUACUCGCAGAAUAAGCACCGGCUAACUCUGUGCCAGCAGCCGCGGUAA
This 502-nucleotide ribosomal RNA is filed under the name uncultured bacterium. RNAcentral describes it as "partial 16S ribosomal RNA". It matches the Rfam family "Bacterial small subunit ribosomal RNA", at positions 30 to 523 of the family's 1533-position model. The record is from RNAcentral.